AAAUACUGGCGCAGUGGGAUUGUACUGGAAGAAGAGGUGAUACAAUCCUUUGUAGAGCAUCGGUCCUGGCUUAAGUCCAUGAGGAAAGAGGAAGAAGAACGUACACAUACAAGGGUGGCUUUUACUUGAGUGACUCUAGAAGUUAUAAUUUUACCAUUCAUCCAGUUCUUGAUGGGUUGGAAGUGGAAUGCAGGGCGUAAGUCAUCCCCCACAGACGAUCCUGCAAGCGAUAAGAUGAUUAUUAUCAGAAGCAUAGCCGGCAUUAUCGUGAGCUCUCACACAACUGGUGGAGUUGAAAGGCAAAAGUUGGUGCAACCAUCUUUUUUAGCUUAAUCAGGGAUGACAGGAUUCGAACCUGCGGCCGUUUGUACCCAAAACAAACGCGCUACCGAGCUGCGCUACAUCCCUGGCCGCAAUUUCCAGUGCCGGAAUGCUGCCCCAGGCGAACUUGUAUGUUAGCAAAACAGUUUUGAAACUCUUGACAGGUUCUUUCCUGCUCUUGUCAAACAGCUUUCAAAUCCUUCGAAAAAGAUCGGGAAAGUGAAAGUAAAAUA
Long non-coding RNA from Selaginella moellendorffii, 554 nucleotides. RefSeq lists it as uncharacterized. The transcript is spliced from 3 exons. Lineage: Eukaryota; Viridiplantae; Streptophyta; Lycopodiopsida; Selaginellales; Selaginellaceae. The record is from RefSeq and is a predicted model, not a curated record.